UGAGGAAUAUUGGACAAUGGAGGGGACUCUGAUCCAGCCAUGCCGCGUGCAGGAAGACUGCCCUAUGGGUUGUAAACUGCUUUUAUACAGGAAGAAACACUAGUACGUGUACUAGCUUGACGGUACUGUAAGAAUAAGGACCGGCUAACUCCGUGCCAGCAGCCGCGGUAAUACGGAGGGUCCGAGCGUUAUCCGGAAUCAUUGGGUUUAAAGGGUCCGCAGGCGGUCGAUUAAGUCAGAGGUGAAAUCCCAUAGCUUAACUAUGGAACUGCCUUUGAUACUGGUUGACUUGAGUCAUAUGGAAGUAGAUAGAAUGUGUAGUGUAGCGGUGAAAUGCAUAGAUAUUACACAGAAUACCGAUUGCGAAGGCAGUCUACUACGUAUGUACUGACGCUCAUGGACGAAAGCGUGGGGAGCGAACAGGAUUAGAUACCCUGGUAGUCCACGCCGUAAACGAUGGACACUAGUUGUUGGGAUUUAUCUCAGUGACUAAGCGAAAGUGAUAA
Molecule: ribosomal RNA, 506 nt
Filed under: uncultured marine bacterium
Lineage: Bacteria
Description: bacterial SSU rRNA
Rfam family: Bacterial small subunit ribosomal RNA
Source: RNAcentral